CAAGACAGCAGUUCUCUGGUUUCCAGCAGAGAAAUUUUGAAGAAUAAGACAAGUUAUUCUUCACAAGCAAGAAAGUUGGGAAGAAAAUCCAGGGUUUGCGAUUUUCUGGGCGUUCAUUUAAGCAAGAGAAGAGAAGAGAAGAGAACGUUCGUUCGAGGUUGUGUUCGUUCGUUCGUUCGAGCAAGAGAAGAGAAGAGAAGAGGAGUAAAGAAAUUUAACUUCUUUAUAGGCACUUCUGGAGUGUAGGAGCUAACAUACAUUGUAGUUUGGUAGAUUUAAGCAGGACCUCCACUGGAUGAGAUGUCUAUAGCAUGCAUUUUGCGCGACUUGCUACAUGCCAUCGAAGACCUCCAUAAUGAAGGAAAGAUUCACAGAGAUAUUAAAGCUGCAAACAUUAUAUUGACAGAGAAUGGAGAUGUUAAGUGUAUAACGGGUUGCUGAUUUUGGUGUUUCUGCACAACUAACAAGGACAAUCUCGAGAAGAAAGACAUUUGUAGGAACACCAUUCUGAAUGGCUCCAGAAGUAAUUCCAAAUUCAGAUGGAUGCAAUGAGAAGCUGAUAUCUAGUAUUUGGGGAUAACUGCAAAUGAAAUGGCCAAAGGGGAACCUCCACUUGCAGAUCUCCACCCAGUGAGGGUUCUUUUCAUCAUUCCUCGAGAAAACCCCCCUCAGAGACCAAGUGCUAAGGAACUUCUAAAGCAUCGUUUUAUCAAGAAUGCUAGAAAAGGCCCCAGGCUAUUGGAAAGAAUAAGGCGAAUGAGUUCUUUUGCAAUUAGUGAUUUCCAUAACAUGUAUUUUGCAAUUAGUGAAUGAGUUCUUUUGCAAUUGACUUUUGCAAUUAGUGAUUUCCAACCUAUCCACGGCUGCUCUUAAAUUUUUUUGUUUUAUGUUAUUUUCUUCAAAGUCUUCUAGGUUUAUAAAAGUGGAGAAGCAAAAUCCACUUUCUCUACAUGGUAGGCAUGGCAAUAUGGAAUGCCUGCUUUACUUCUUUGGCUCUCUUUCUUCAUAAUAAAAGUUUCUAUAAAUAUAAUUAAUACUCUCAACAGAUUUUUAAUUGAUGAUAAUAUACAUCUACCUAGUUAUUAAUAUGGGUUCAAAUUGUUGGUAUGGUGGGUAAUCGGGUUCACUUUGAUAAACCCUAGAUUUGAGAAAGAAUUUGGAUGCAUGACUACAUGCCAAUUAAGGGUGGGUCGGUGUGGAAUUAAAAACUAAAACAGAGAAGCAAGUUUUUCUUCUUUUUUUUUUGCCUCUUUAAAAAAGAAGAAAAAACACCUUUUCCUAUUUCUAAAGUGUGGUCUGAGAAAACGUUUUCAUAAAAUGGUUAAUCAAACAUUAAGUGUUUUUAGAAAAAAAUAAAUUUCAGACUACAUGAUGCUGAUGUGGCACCAUUUUAGAAAAAUCGGCAUUGAUGCCAAACACCUACUAAAAAGAACUAAAUAACAAAUAAAACAGACAAGCAUCAAACAUCAUGUGCCCACGAUCCUCGAUACAAAGUUCUUUUUUUAGGCAUCCUUAGGAAAGACACGAAAAGGUGAGAGCCUGAGAUUUGAGGAAAAGUUGCAAUCACCAUAGAGAUGAUGCCUUUUUGUGUGGGUUUAUGCCCAUGGCCGACCUCACUCUUGGCUGCACAAAUAUAAGGAUUUUGUGCACUUUUCACUUUGCACUGUGGAGUGCCGACUACCGAGUGCUGCUGUCAAAAAGUACUGCAUCUAGGCACCGCGUUUCAGUUUUUUCAUGCAUUCUUCAUAGUUCUUACACGUAUAGACACACUCUUUCUCUCUCUGUCUUGAUUUAUAAGAAGGGAUGAGGUGAUGUGUUCAAAAAUCAAAACUCUAGAGUAGAAAAUUGAGAGGAAGAGAAGUAUCAAGUAGCAACUACUUGAGAUCAUAGUAAAAAAGUUGAGAAAAAAUGUAAAAACUGCAUCUGUUUGCCAUAUUUUUUGAUUUUGGAAAUUAAUGGUCAUUGGGCUUGAUGCAAAGGCUCCUCCCAAGAAAAGCUUUGGAUUGCAAAUUUGCAAUAAGUAACCUUGGGUUCUGUAGAGUUUUUAUUUGCUCUUGUUUGAAAAUUUUAAUUUUCAAAUUAUAUUUUAUCCAAGUUAUAGCUAAUAACUAAGAACUUCUGUGAAAAUCAUUUAUUUUGCUCUGUUG
Molecule: non-coding RNA, 2147 nt
Organism: Nelumbo nucifera (sacred lotus)
Lineage: Eukaryota; Viridiplantae; Streptophyta; Magnoliopsida; Proteales; Nelumbonaceae
Source: RefSeq, a predicted model, not a curated record